This 147-nucleotide non-coding RNA is filed under the name Hordeum vulgare subsp. vulgare (domesticated barley). RNAcentral's name for it is "Bacterial small subunit ribosomal RNA". It matches the Rfam family "Bacterial small subunit ribosomal RNA", at positions 1222 to 1368 of the family's 1533-position model. The record is from Rfam by way of RNAcentral. Lineage: Eukaryota; Viridiplantae; Streptophyta; Magnoliopsida; Poales; Poaceae.
ACGGGACGAGAAGUAAUAGGAUUGGUUCUCAUAAUUAUCAGGCGGAGCGAAUCCGAAAAGAUUACCUCGGUUCGGAUUGUUCUCUACAACUCGGGAACGUGAAGUUGAACUCGCUAGUAAUCGCGGAUCAGCAUGUCGCGGUGAAUA